Molecule: non-coding RNA, 166 nt
Filed under: pig gut metagenome
Source: RNAcentral
AAGGUUCGACGUACGUCGAUUAAUAGGGAAUACGGUGUGAAUCCAUAGCAGUCCCCGCUACUGUAUGAAGGACAAAGGCUUCACUUACACGAUGAUGUAAGCCACUGGGAAACUGGGAAGGAGAAGCCGGCGGUUGAAUUCGAGUCAGGAGACCUGCCUUAUUUGC